GGUCCGAUGCCACGUUGCCGGUAGCCACCGAAAGCAUUGACCGGCAAUGCUAUGAUUGGACCAAAAUCAAUGGGUUCGUUUGGUUUGCAUUUCGGAAAAAAUUUUGGGAAAUUUUCUCUACAAAUAAGUUUUUAAAAGUAAUCAAACCAAACAAAUUU
Non-coding RNA from Camellia sinensis, 158 nucleotides. The record is from RefSeq and is a predicted model, not a curated record. Lineage: Eukaryota; Viridiplantae; Streptophyta; Magnoliopsida; Ericales; Theaceae.